Molecule: ribosomal RNA, 482 nt
Filed under: uncultured bacterium
Lineage: Bacteria
Description: partial 16S ribosomal RNA
Rfam family: Bacterial small subunit ribosomal RNA
Source: RNAcentral
AUUGAACGCUGGCGGCAUGCCUUACACAUGCAAGUCGAACGGCAGCGCGGGAGCAAUCCUGGCGGCGAGUGGCGAACGGGUGAGUAAUACAUCGGAACGUGCCCAAUCGUGGGGGAUAACGCAGCGAAAGCUGUGCUAAUACCGCGUACGAUCUACGGAUGAAAGCAGGGGAUCGCAAGACCUUGCGCGAAUGGAGCGGCCGAUGGCAGAUUAGGUAGUUGGUGAGGUAAAGGCUCACCAAGCCUUCGAUCUGUAGCUGGUCUGAGAGGACGACCAGCCACACUGGGACUGAGACACGGCCCAGACUCCUACGGGAGGCAGCAGUGGGGAAUUUUGGACAAUGGGCGAAAGCCUGAUCCAGCCAUGCCGCGUGCAGGAUGAAGGCCUUCGGGUUGUAAACUGCUUUUGUACGGAACGAAACGGUCUUUUCUAAUAAAGAAGGCUAAUGACGGUACCGUAAGAAUAAGCACCGGCUAACUACG